GGGGCUGGAAUGUAGAUGUUUGAAAGAAACGUGUAAAUAAAUGAAUUGUGGAUAACUUAGUUAUUGGCCUGGAGACUAGUAGCUUGUUAAAGAAACUCCA
Procavia capensis (Cape rock hyrax) is the source of this 100-nucleotide non-coding RNA. The record is from Rfam. Lineage: Eukaryota; Metazoa; Chordata; Mammalia; Hyracoidea; Procaviidae.